UACGUAGGGGGCAAGCGUUGUCCGGAAUCAUUGGGCGUAAAGCGCGUGUAGGCGGCUCGAUAAGUCUGCUGUGAAAGUCCAAGGCUCAACCUUGGGAUGCCGGUGGAUGCUGUCGAGCUCGAGUCCGGAAGAGGAGUGUGGAAUUCCUGGUGUAGCGGUGAAAUGCGCAGAUAUCAGGAGGAACACCGGUGGCGAAGGCGGGUCUCUGGACCGAUACUGACACUGAGGAGCGAAAGCGUGGGGAGCGAACAGG
RNAcentral lists this ribosomal RNA (253 nucleotides) under uncultured bacterium. Its description in RNAcentral is "partial 16S ribosomal RNA". It matches the Rfam family "Bacterial small subunit ribosomal RNA", at positions 524 to 776 of the family's 1533-position model. The record is from RNAcentral.